Molecule: non-coding RNA, 21 nt
Filed under: Caenorhabditis elegans
Lineage: Eukaryota; Metazoa; Nematoda; Chromadorea; Rhabditida; Rhabditidae
Source: RNAcentral
UCUCAAGUUGCAUUUAGGAUU